UAGAACAAUGUAGGUAAGGGAAGUCGGCAAAAUGGAUCCGUAACUUCGGGAGAAGGAUUGGCUCUGAGGGCCGAGCGACCCGCUGCUAGCUUCGGAAGAGGGAAUCAUAGAGCGGGAGUCCGCGAGGUGGCAUAUUAAUUUGGACUUGGGCGCACCGAACGGCGAACGUUCUACCCUCGGAAGGGCAGGCGGACGGAGCGGGGUAGGGGUGACUCUCCCCGUUUUCGGCACGGGCGCGAGGAACGGCUCGAUCAGAACUGGCACGGUCCGGGGGAAUCCGACUGUUUAGUAAAAACAUAGCGUCUCGAAGGCCGGAGAUCGGUGUUGACGGGACGUGAUUUCUGCCCAGUGCUCUGAAUGUCACGGUGAAGAAAUUUACGGAAGCGCGGGUAAACGGCGGGAGUAACUAUGACUCUCUUAAGGUAGCCAAAUGCCUCGUCAUGUAAUUAGUGACGCGCAUGAAUGGAUUAACGAGAUUCCCACUGUCCCUAUCUACUAUCUAGCGAAGCCACAGCCGGAGGAACGGGUCCGG
This 532-nucleotide non-coding RNA is filed under the name Lottia gigantea (owl limpet). Its description in RNAcentral is "Eukaryotic large subunit ribosomal RNA". It matches the Rfam family "Eukaryotic large subunit ribosomal RNA", at positions 1891 to 2388 of the family's 3401-position model. The record is from Rfam by way of RNAcentral. Lineage: Eukaryota; Metazoa; Mollusca; Gastropoda; Lottiidae.